GUCAUAAACCUUGUGUUUAAAUUUCAUUGAUUUCUAUUUACUUAUACUAAAGUUAUUGUGCGAAAACCAAGAAUAAUGCUUAUUUGGGCCCUUUUUUGGCCCUUAAUUCCUAAACUGUUGGAACCAAAACUCCCAAAAUCAAUCCCAACCGUCCUUUUGUGGUCAUAAACCUUGUGUCAAAAUUUCAUAGAUUUCUAUUCACUUAAACUAAAGUUAUAGUGCGAAAACCAAGAAAAUGCUUAUUUGGGCCCUUUUCGGCCCCUAAUUCCUAAAAUGUUGGGACCAAAACUCCCAAAAUCAAUCCCAACCUUCCUUUUGUGGUCAUAAACCUUGUGUUAAAAUUUCAUUGAUUUCUAUUCACUUUUACUAAAGUUAGAGUGCGAAAACUAAAAGUAUUUUGACGACGACGACGACGACGCCAACGUGAUAGCAAUAUACGACCAAAAAAUUAAAAUUUUUGCGGUCGUAUAAAAACU
This 476-nucleotide long non-coding RNA is filed under the name Mytilus galloprovincialis (Mediterranean mussel). Lineage: Eukaryota; Metazoa; Mollusca; Bivalvia; Mytilida; Mytilidae. The record is from RNAcentral.